This 427-nucleotide ribosomal RNA is filed under the name Stephanitis takeyai. RNAcentral's name for it is "partial 16S ribosomal RNA". Lineage: Eukaryota; Metazoa; Arthropoda; Insecta; Hemiptera; Tingidae. The record is from RNAcentral.
UUCUUUUUGGUUUUUUAAAAAGUAAGACCUGCUCAAUGAUCUUUUAAAUAGCCGCGUUAUAACCGUGCUAAGGUAGCAUAAUAAUUUGUCUUUUAAUUAAGGUCUAGUAUGAAUGGUUAAACGAGGAAUUAACUUUUUUAAUUAAAUUAAUUUUAACUUUAUUUUUUAGUUAAAAAGCUAAAAUAAAAUUAAAGGACGAUCAGACCCUAUAGAAUUUUAUUUUAAAAAAUUUAUUAUAUUAUUAUAAUAAAUGUAUAAUAAAUUCUAUAAAUUUGGUUGGGGUGAUUUUUAUAUUUUAUUAACUAUAAUAUUUGUUUUUCGUUAUUAAUGAAAUUUUGAUCCUUUUAUUAAGAUUAAUAGAAAAAAUUACCUUAGGGAUAACAGCGUAAUUUUCUUGGAGAGUUCUUAUUAAUAAGAAAGAUUGCGA